AAAUAAGAAGCGAUUAAUUGCAAUUAGUUUCGACCUAAUCUUAGAUAAUUUAAUUAUCCUUAUUUU
This 66-nucleotide transfer RNA is filed under the name Sylvicola fenestralis. RNAcentral describes it as "tRNA-Arg". Lineage: Eukaryota; Metazoa; Arthropoda; Insecta; Diptera; Anisopodidae. The record is from RNAcentral.